CCGUCAGCGUGGUAUUCCUUCUCGUCAGCCGUCAGCAGCUUGGCGAGGCCGAAGUCGGUGAUCUUGACGUGGUUGGGAGUUUUAACCAGGACGUUCCUCGCCGCCAGGUCUCGAUGCACCAGGUGGCGCUCCUCCAGGAGGCGGCGCAGGGUCCUCUUCCUUGUGAUUCGUCGUCGCCGUAGCAACACAAAGAUAACCAAUGAGACGAUGACAGCAAUCAAGAGCCCACCAACCACGACCGCCGCCAACGUGGAGUGGGUGGCAGCACUGUGAGGACGUACAGAAUGCACAACGUUUGUGUUUGAAAUUAUUGUGAGACAGUCCAGGACCUGAACACCUGCAGACACAGAGACACAAAACAUGCAAUUCGGGUGGCAGGCCUGGCACUGGGCUGUCCGGUCCGGUAUUUCCAGAUCAGCGUGUCUCCGUCUCCCAGCACACCGUGGGGGCAGCGCGGCACGCAGUGGGGGCCAUCUUUAAAAUGGGCGCACUGGGAACACUGGUCUGGACCCUGCAGGUCGGGGGUGGAUGAGGGAUGAUAUGUUCAAAAGUAAUCUAUACAAAAUUUGCAGGUUACAGUGCGACACGCAGCGCCCCCUACGGUUGAAAUGCCGACAGGAGACACACAUGGUGGGGCCUGGACCCCAGCAGCCCUCAUCCGUACACUCCGUGUCACAGGUUCUCAAACACUGACAGAGAGGUCAGAUUCUCCGGCCAGGACUGGAUCAGCAGGAAACCUGGAGGACACACACUCACACUCUGACUGACUGUACCUGCACUGUUCAGAUCAACCAUCCUCUGUCUCUCUACCUUUAGGACAGGGUCCGUCGCAUGCUUUGCAGCGUUGGACUCCGUUCUCCUCCACCUCGUACAUUCCAGUGCUGCAGCAGCUAAUCCCUCUGAGAGCAAAGAAAAGGCUCUAAAUGAAAGUACAGUCGGAGCAGAGUGAAGUCACGGAGCAGCAGGACAAAAAUCCAUCUUCAUAAAAGAUCAAAGAGGGAGGAGAAGACGUGGAGGAGAAGAUGGAGAGCGAUCCUGCCCGCAACCUUCGACCAGACAGAUUCCUGUUCUCGAAGAGACGCAGAGAAACAAAAACACUAAAGUGAGUUCAUCUUAACUCUGGUCCCUUUGCAGAUCUGUGUGAUUUGGUGAAGCUUAGAGAAUCCAAAAAUCUCUAUUUACACAACUCAACGUCUCUUUAUAGAAAGAAUACACCAGCUUUUCAACCUGUAGGGGAGUAACUGGAGCUGGGAUUGGAUCAAAUCUGAAUGCUUUGACUCUCUUAUUGAACCUGUUUAUGUUUAGCUCUCAACAUUUGUCAGUAAAGUCAAAUAAUUAAAACUACAAAAGCAGAAGCCGUUCUGAGUGUCCGUCCGAUUAAUGCUGACAACCUGCAGCUCCAGCUAGAAGAUAUGAAAUAUGGAUUUCAUCUGAGUCUGACACCUUAUUCUUCACCAGCUACUUGAUCCAGACACUGCAGCUAUUGAUCUGAUUUCAAGGAAAGUUAGUGAUUUCAUCUCUGAAACAGACGUGAGAUCAGCUGAUAAUGUCGCCACAGAAGACUCAUCAAAGAUCAUUUACUCACGUACUGAAGGACAAAUCUGAGGUUCUUUUCAUGCUACUAUCUACUUCCACUCCGCUACCUCUCCGAGGGAAAUACUGGACUUUCACUGCGUUUCUCUGACGGCUUCAGUUACUUUUCACAUUAAAACAUGAGGAGUUUUGUUAGAAAUGAAACUCCAACAGUUCUUCCUGGCUGCAGCUCCUCAGAUGUGCAGAUCUGCUGCUUUUCCUCUGAACGACUGUAAUAACUGUAAUGUUUGUUAAUAACGUCGAGCUUUGGACUGUCGGUCGGACA
Siniperca chuatsi (mandarin fish) is the source of this 1858-nucleotide long non-coding RNA. RefSeq lists it as uncharacterized. The transcript is spliced from 8 exons. The record is from RefSeq and is a predicted model, not a curated record. NCBI's taxonomy places the organism in Eukaryota, Metazoa, Chordata, Actinopteri, Centrarchiformes, Sinipercidae.